RNAcentral lists this ribosomal RNA (301 nucleotides) under uncultured bacterium. RNAcentral's name for it is "partial 16S ribosomal RNA". It matches the Rfam family "Bacterial small subunit ribosomal RNA", at positions 509 to 807 of the family's 1533-position model. The record is from RNAcentral.
CAGUAGCCGCGGUAACACGAAGGGGGCUAGCGUUGUUCGGAAUUACUGGGCGUAAAGGGCGCGUAGGCGGCCAUUCAAGUUAGAUGUGAAAGCCCUGGGCUCAACCUAGGAAUUGCAUUUGAUACUGUUUGGCUUGAGUUCGUGAGAGGUGAGUGGAAUUCCCAGUGUAGAGGUGAAAUUCGUAGAUAUUGGGAAGAACACCAGUGGCGAAGGCGGCUCACUGGACCGACACUGACGCUGAGGCGCGAAAGCGUGGGGAGCAAACAGGAUUAGAUACCCCAGUAGUCCCUGUCUCUUAUAC